Unclassified non-coding RNA from Macaca fascicularis (crab-eating macaque), 148 nucleotides. It matches the Rfam family "Metazoan signal recognition particle RNA". Rfam says of the family: The signal recognition particle (SRP) is a universally conserved ribonucleoprotein. The record is from Ensembl. NCBI's taxonomy places the organism in Eukaryota, Metazoa, Chordata, Mammalia, Primates, Cercopithecidae.
GCCAGGUGUGGUGGUGCGUGCCUGUAAUCCCAGUUAUUUGGGAGGCUGAGGCAGGAGAAUCACUUGAACCCAGGAGGUGGAGGUUGCAGUGAGCCGAGAUCGUGCCACUGAACCCCAGCCUGGGUGACAGAGUAAGAUUCUGUCUCAA